This 7663-nucleotide long non-coding RNA is filed under the name Populus tremula. RNAcentral's name for it is "long non-coding RNA (PTRE_LNC002248)". The record is from RNAcentral. Lineage: Eukaryota; Viridiplantae; Streptophyta; Magnoliopsida; Malpighiales; Salicaceae.
CGACUUCGACCUUCACUUCCUCUUUUUUAAGCCCUGGAAGAUCUGCCUUGAAGACAUGGGCUUCUUGUGUCUCUUUCCAAUCAAUGCGGGUGUUGACAAAGGCUGAAUUUUCACGAGAAAGGAGAGAAUUUGAGGUGGAAGUGAAAGGGAACUCUUUGAGUGGAUCCCAAAUGUCGAAUUCGGACAAUGUGUCGAAGAUGCUGCCGCCUCGGCGGUUGUUAAAGAAGCUCGGAAUCAUUGCCAUCCUUCUUCUUCUUCUUCACAAAAUCACUCGUUUGCUUACUUUGAUGGGCUGGUACUGAUAUUUUGAUUGCUUCUUGUGCUUGUUUUCCUUGAUGUUGUACGAGAGAUGGGACAUGUUGUGUUUUUAUAAGAAGUAAGAGGAGACAUCCAGUGUAUUCUGGAUGACGAAGUUGGACGGUGAUUGAGAAGAUAGACGAACUUUCUCGUAAAUUCCUGAAUCCUUCUGCCUGUGAAUUGAAAAUUAAAAUGGACUUGGUGUUUAAUGGGCUUUUAUUUAUAAUGGGCUCGGGCCUAUUUUGCUUACAGGCCCUCUACUGUUUUAAUUUUUCUUUUUCAUCUUUAAUUUUCGGUUUUCUUUUUCAGAGAAAUAACUUUUGACUCAAGGAUGGGUUUAUUUAAAAAAAAAACAAAUUUAAUUUCUAAUUAGGAAGAUCCUGCAAAACCGGUUAAACAGAUGGAUUAGGAAAAUAAAAUUUAAUGUUUAGAGCACUUAAAGGUAAAUAUAUCAAAAGCUAUUAUAUGGUCUAUUAAUUUUAAGAAGGGGGAUAAAAAUAAAAAGAAUGAGAAAAUCAUAAAUUAAUCCAUAAAAAAUAAAAAAUAAAAUUUAUCUAAUUUUGAAAAGUCAUUUUUUAUAUUUAUUUACCUUGAUUUAAAUUUUAAAUAAAAAAUAGAAACAAAGAAAAGAAAUAAAAUCGCAACCAAAUCCAUCAAAAAUAAUAAAAAUAUUUUUACCUAUGCUGAAAAUAAUGUUUCAUUCCUAUUUUUCUUCACUCUUUUUUAUUCUUGUAUUUAUCUCUUCGUGUGAACAAUUCUUAAAUAAACAAUAUUUUAUAAAGACAUAAAUGCCAUUAAAAAUCAACUUAAUUUUUCAAAACUAGAUCUAUGAUCACAACAUUUUAAGUGGGCUUUGGAGAUAGAUUAUUAAGAUUCAUAUCAUCAUGAUCCACUACGAAACACCUCCAAACGAAUUUAUAGCCCCCGGAACUUUAACUGUGGGUUUGGAAUCCGCAAGAUGCAUAAUGUAUUUUUGUUACUCCUUGAAUUUUUGUACACUGAAUAUCACUCAAAGCCAUGAACUCGGGAAAAAAACAAGGUAAAUAUUUAAUUUCUUAGAAGAUUUUAUUGUAUUGAGGGAAUAAAUAAAAAUAUAUUAUUUUAAUAUAUUUUUAAUUAAAAAAUAUUUUUAAAAAUCACUCUACACUUUAAUAACAAAUAAUUAAAAUAUAUGUAGCCCAAACUCCGCUACUAAAUUACAACUUCCUAAAUGUCUUCAUUAUUAUUAAAAAAAAAAUUCUCAUCAAACCUCUGCAUAGAGUGAAGUUCUUCAUAUGUUGAAGGGGCUACUUGGCGCAGCAAUUGAACCAUCAUUUUAUUAUUUUUUAGUUCUUAUUGUUUUUAAUUAGUAUUUUAAUAUAUUUUUAAAUAAAAAAAAUAUUUUAAAAUAUCAUUAUUAUAAACAUCCCUAAAAUAUGACUAAUCAAGGGUAACAUAAUUUAAAAAUGGCUAUCAAUUGACACUUGAGGGUCCAGCUGCUGUGGUCAACCGUGUGACUUGUUCCGUCCCCAUCCCGGGUUCGACCCUCUAUGUGUACGCCUGUCACCCCCGCGGUACCUUACAUGUUCACUGGGCUUGCAGGAUGCCCAGUGGACCCGGGAACUAGUUGUGGUGCGCGCAAGCUGGCCCGGACACCCCGGUUAUCAAAAACAAAAAUGGCUAUCAAUUGAUCAUGUAUAUGACAGUAUCUUAUAAGUUUAGCACCAUAUUAAAUUCAAGUGCUAUCAGAUUAACAUUCUUAGAGUUGAUUGUAUAUCAAAUUUAAUUGAACAUGGGUCUAACAAAGUACUGGAUCUAUAAUCUUUAGGUUUGAUUGCAUGUUAAGUCCACUUGAUAUGAGUCUAGCAAUCCUCUCAACAUAUUAACUUUCAGUUUGGUUGCAUAUCAGAAUAAUUUGGCUUGCUAUCGCAUUCAUUGACAAUAAGCUUAGCGGUAUGCCAAGUUAAAAAGACUAAAAGUUUGAAGAUUAUUAUAAACCUCGUAUUCUGUUAUAAGAAUUCAAUUGUUUGUUUAUGCUACAUGAAAACCUAAUGUGAUGGUUCAAUAAUAAAAAAUAAAAACAAGGAAAGAGUUGUGGAACUCAGUUCCAUCACUAAGAGCUUUAAAGAAAUGAUAUAACGACGUAACAGUAGUGAUAAGAAUAAGAAGAAUCUUCUUCCCUUUUGUUUCUUCAGAACUCCAGAUUGUUCUAGGAAAAUCAGAAUUAAUUGACGAUGUCAAUUCUUAUGAUGAAACAAGAACUGUUAUUAGCAAAACUGUUUACUUACAUAAUACAUUUGAACACUAAAGAACCCAAAAUUCUUACAAACCCAUGAUAUUCAAUGCGCAUUCUCUCAUUCAGUUAACCAGAGAUUUCAAUAGCCUUGACACCGUCACCAGGUUUCUUGAGCUCCUCUUUAGGCACAGUCACAGUAAGAACUCCGUUUUCCAUAGAAGCCUUGACGUGAUCCAUUUUCGCAUCCUCGGGGAGCCUAAACCUCCUCAAGAACUUGCCACUGCUUCGCUCCACCCUAUGCCAUGUAUCGUUCUUGUCUUCCUUCUCAACAUUCCUUUCUCCGCUAAUCUGAAGCACCCUGUCAUCUUCAACUUCGACCUUCACUUCCUCUUUUUUAAGCCCUGGAAGAUCUGCCUUGAAGAUAUGGGCUUCUGGUGUCUCUUUCCAAUCCACGCGGGUGUUUACAAAGGCUGAAUUUUCACGAGAAAGGAGAGAAUUUGAGGUGGCAGUGAAAGGGGAAAAGACCUUGAACGGAUCCCAAAUGUCAAAAGAAGAGAAUGGAUCGAUAAUGCUUCUGCCUCGGUGGUUGUCAAAGAAGCUUGGAAUCAUUUCCAUCUUAUCCAGAAAAUCUUGUAGCUUGAUGGUUUGCUGUUAAUCACCUGACUAGUUUUCUUGCUCUUGAUUUCUCGAUGUCAUGUCAAAGGCGACACGGGUUGGUAUUUAUAAUGAGUAAACGAGCCAUCUGGUACAUUCUGGACGGUCGACUGGGACCCUGUUUCAGGAACAUUCUGGGUCUCCACCCAGAUUUUAAUUUGAGAAAUUGAGGAACUUACUCGAAAGUUCCUGUUUCUUCGUGGCUGUAGAUUUAAAACGAGGGCCGAUUGGGCUGGAAUAUAUAAUGGGCCUAAGUCUUGGUUUAGUAUUUUGCUUUUGGGCUUUGUAAUGUUUGAUUUCCCUUUUCUAUUCCUUGUAUACACCAGAUUAUUUUUCUUUUGUAUCAGUUUAAUAUAGAGGUGAUUUAUGGAUUCUGUUUUAAGAUCCUAGUAAAAAUUUUCAUUAAGUUAUUUAUGGGUUGGGAAAUUUCUUGGUGAAGACAACCCAUGGAUCAUUGUAAAAAAAUUCAAUAGUAACUUUGAAAAGCUUAAAAAAUUGUAAAAAUAAUUCAACUCCAUUGUAAAAAUCUCAGGACAAAAAGUCCUAAAAAAACCACUCAAAUAAAAAAAAACCCGUUGAAAUAAAAAUAGAUUUUAUCAGUUUAGAAAAAAAAAUUAAAAUAACUUGUUUUUAAUAACAUCUGGGUUUAAACCAUAAAAACACUCAAUUUUAUUGUUUUAUCUUAAUUUCAAAACCAAACAUAUUUAAAAAAAAUCAUAUCAAAUCACUUGAUUGUCAUAUGAUAUGCUUAAUAAAAAUGCUAAAUAAAUGCGUGUUUUUGUUUUUACAUUAUAAUAUGUUUUUAAAGUUAUUUUUUGUUUUAAAAAAAUAUAAAAUUAAUGUUUUUUAUAUAUAUUUUUAAUAAUUUUGAUUUGUUGAUAUUAACAAUCAAAAAUAUAUUUUUAAUUAAAAAAAUCUUUAGAUAUACAUUCAACACCACCAUACCUAUAGAAUAGGUGUAGCACAAACUCUAAUCCUAAAUUACAAUUUCCUAAAUGUUAUUAUUAUUAUUACUAUUAUUAUUAUUAUUUGAUGUUCAAGGGGGGAGAGAGUGCAUUUCUCAUCAUACCUAUCCGUAAAGCGAAGUUCUAGAGAUGUCGAAAGAACUAUUUGUCACAAUGGUUGAACCACUUUUUUAACAAUUGAUUUUGCUUUAAAUUAUUUUUUUAUUUUUUAAAAAUAUAUUAAUAUUAAAAAUAAAUUUUAAAAAAUAAAAAUUAUAUAAUUUUAAUAUAUUUCCAAAUAAGAAAUAUCUAAAAAAGCAACUUCUACUCCUCUCUUAUACCACCCCCGAAAUAUGAUCAAUGAAGGGCAGCGCAGUUUGAAAAUGACCAUCAGUUUACAAUGUAUAUGGUAUCCUUUUCAGCUCAUUCACUUAAGAAAUUAUGGGUGACCUUCAACUCUAAUUUCCAAAAGAAAAUAACAAAACUAAACAGCCAAGAAAGAGGUCUUUUGUUGCUGGAGUUCUUCAAGGUGAAAACCCUGGAUUUGCGAGGAGCAAACGAAGUGGGAACUGGUACGACUUCUGCAACUACGCAGUAAAAAUAGCAGGCUAUGGAAGGACGUUACAAAUUUGAUCGUGGCAAUCAAAUAGAUACGGUAGCUUUGGUGAGAAUCCGAGACUGUACUUUUGAUGUUUCUCCUAGAGGUCUUUUGUUGCUCUUAUGAAGCCUUCAGGAUGAUUUUGAUUCUAUCUGUAUGAAGUAAUACCUAUAAACUACUAAUUAUUGUAAGACGUGAAAUAUAUUUAUUGGAACACAGGAUGAGAUUUUAAUUCUAUGAUAAAUUUGUGAUCAUAGCGUUGGCUUGAUAGGGUUUGGAUUUGCAGUUAAGAGAGCCUUCCCCUGUUGCCAGAAUUAAUGAUCUUUCAGAGGCACUCUAUGUUGAAGUUCAAGACGAUCAAGAAAGUAUAUUGUAAAGAAACUUCACAGGAUUGUUGAAAGAACUUCUCUGAUUUUGAGGAUUGGCAAAACUGUUAUGUUACAUUCAUAAUAGAUUGAAUCCUAUGUGCACACUUACAGUAACAGAGAACUUCCAACCAAUUGUAAAAACACAAAAGAACAAUUCUUACAGACACAGAAUAUUCAAUAGGCAUUCUCUUACUCAAUUAACUAGAGAUUUCAAUCGCCUUGACUUCAGGUUUCUUGAUCUCUUCUUUAGGCACAGUCACGGUAAGAACUCCAUUUUCCAUAGAUGCCUUGACCUUAUCCAUUUUUGCAUUCUCAGGCAGCCUGAACCUCCUCGAGAACUUGCCACUGCUUCGCUCCACCCUAUGCCAUGUAUCGUUCUUGUCUUCCUUCUCCACAUUCCUUUCUCCGCUAAUCUGAAGCACCUUGUCAUCUUCAAUUUCGACCUUCACUUCCUCUUUUUUAAGCCCUGGAAGAUCUGCCUUGAAGAUAUGGGCUUCUGGUGUCUCUUUCCAAUCAAUGCGGGUGUUGACAAAGGCUGAAUUUUCACGAGAAAGGAGAGAAUUUGAGGUGGAAGUGAAAGGGAAGUCUUUGAGUGGAUCCCAAACGUCGAAUGCAGAGACUAGGUCGAAAAUGCUGUUGGCUCGUCGGUUGUAAAAGAAGCUUGGAAUUGUUGCCAUCUUUCACUUCUUUCUUCAGAGAAUUAAUCUUCGUUUACUUGCUGCUAUUGUUUUGAUUGCUUCUUCUUGUUCUUGAUUUUUAUGUGCUAGAGGCGGGACAGGUCGGGUAUUUAUAAGUAAAGGAGGCAUCUGGUUUGUUCUGGACGAUCGAGUAGUACGCUGAACCAGGAGGAUUCUGGGUCCAACCAACAUCAGAUAAGAUUGAAGAACUUUCUCGUAAAUUCCUGAGUCCUCGGUUGUGAAUUGAAAAUGUGUGGAUUUUAUAUUCAAUUGGGUUUGAUUUUUUUAAUGGGCUGAAGCCUUUGUUUUCCUAUUUUUUUCAUGGGCCAGUCUACUGUUAUCAUUGUUUUCUUUUUCUUGCCUUAAAAGAUUUUUAGCUUAUUUUUACAUUUUCAAAAUAUUAUUUUAAUGUAUUUUAGAUAAAAAAAAAUACUUAAAAAAUCAAAUGCUAUCACAAUAAUAAACAGACUUUUAAUACACGAAGGUCUUGUAAAUGAAUAAAAGACUUAAAUCAUGAAAAUAAGAAUUUAAUAUAUAGACAUUACUUAGAAAAUAAAUAAUUUCGUCCUCUAAUUAUUUAUUUAUAUAUAUUAAUGAUUGAUUGAUAAUCACAUGUAAAAGUUUAAAACUAUCUAUUAUUCUUUUAAUCAGAACCUUGUAUAAAUAAAAAAUGACCGAUUAUUUACAGCAUUAAAAACUCACUUAAUAUUGUGAUAAUUUUUACUUUUAAAAAAUAAUUUUUUAUAAUUUUAAUAUAUUAAUAUAAAAAAAUAUUAUUUUAAUAUAUUUUCAAAUAUAUAACCAACACUCCAUAUUAAAAAAUUCAAGGAACUAGUUGCAUAAUAGCUUCGAUGUUAUGCUGAGCAGCUCAAAACUUAAAAACUAAUGGUCAUUGACUGAAAAUUCUCAGCUCUUUGUUAUCCUGGGAAAUUCAAUAACUUCAAUGUUGCGUGCUUGAAAUCUAGGGGUUACCAUGAUCUUUUGGACGGCUGGAUCUGUCACUGCAUCCAUCUAUUAUCAACAAUACGAUCGACGGUCAUUAUCUCACCACGAUAUCAUGGACGAGCAAGCAUGGGGCGUAGAAACGAGAUGUUGCAAGAAACCGAGUUCCAUCUCCAGAUUAUUCAAGCUAGGAAAUUAAAUAGUAUACUCGAUAUGAUGAACAAUUUAUGUUCUGAAUGCAUCCUUCUAACUCUUACGCCUCAAAGAGAUUUACACAGGGAGGGAAGGGAAGAUCAAAAAUCAAGAUACGCACAAAUUUACAAGCAACCAAGAAAAGAUACAGGAAAUUUUAUUAGCAAAACUUUUGAUUACAUUACUCCUCUCUGCAUACUGACGAGAAGACCAAACCUUUCAAUUACUUGUAAAAGAGCACAAUAGAGCAAAAAAGACACACAAUUCUCAAAAGAGGUACUAUCUCGUUCAACCAGAGAUUUCUAUAGCCUUGACAUCAGGUUUCUUGAUCUCUUCUUUAGGCACAGUCACGGUAAGAACUCCAUUUUCCAUAGAAGCCUUGACCUGAUCCAUUUUUGCAUUCUCAGGCAGCCUGAACCUCCUCGAGAACUUGCCACUGCUUCGCUCCACCCUAUGCCAUGUAUCGUUCUUGUCUUCCUUCUCCACAUUCCUUUCUCCGCUAAUCUGAAGCACCCUGUCAUCUUCAAUUUCGACCUUCACUUCCUCUUUUUUAAGCCCUGGAAGAUCUGCCUUGAAGACAUGGGCUUCUGGUGUCUCUUUCCAAUCAACGCGGGUGUUGACAAAGGCUGAGUUUUCACGAGAAAGGAGAGAAUUUGAGGUGGAAGUGAAAGGGAACUCUUUGAGUGGAUCCCAAAUGUCGAAUUCGGAGAAUGUGUCGAAGAUGCUGCCGCCUCGGCGGUUGUUAAAGUAUCUCGGAAUCAUUGCCAUCCUUCUUC